CAGGUGCUGCAUGGCUGUCGUCAGCUCGUGCCGUGAGGUGUAUGGUUAAGUCCCACAACGAGCGCAACCCUCGUCGCUAGUUAAUUCCCUAGCGAGACCGCCUCGCAAAACGAGGAGGAAGGCGGGGAUGGCGUCAAGUCAGCAUGGCCUUUAUACCCUGGGCGACACACACGCUACAAUGGGUGGUACAGUAGGUAGCGAAGGAGCGAUCCGGAGCAAAUCCUUAAAACCAUCCUCAGUACGGAUUGCAGGCUGAAACCCGCCUGCAUGAAGCCGGAGUUGCUAGUAACCGCAUAUCAGCAUGGUGCGGUGAAUACGUUCUCGGGCCUU
This 330-nucleotide ribosomal RNA is filed under the name uncultured Chloroflexota bacterium. Its description in RNAcentral is "bacterial SSU rRNA". It matches the Rfam family "Bacterial small subunit ribosomal RNA", at positions 1035 to 1382 of the family's 1533-position model. The record is from RNAcentral. Lineage: Bacteria; Bacillati; Chloroflexota.